UACGUAGGUGGCAAGCGUUAUCCGGAAUUAUUGGGCGUAAAGCGCGCGUAGGCGGUUUUUUAAGUCUGAUGUGAAAGCCCACGGCUCAACCGUGGAGGGUCAUUGGAAACUGGAAAACUUGAGUGCAGAAGAGGAAAGUGGAAUUCCAUGUGUAGCGGUGAAAUGCGCAGAGAUAUGGAGGAACGCCAGUGGCGAAGGCGACUUUCNUGGUCUGUAACUGACGCUGAUGUGCGAAAGCG
This 239-nucleotide ribosomal RNA is filed under the name uncultured Staphylococcus sp. RNAcentral's name for it is "partial 16S ribosomal RNA". It matches the Rfam family "Bacterial small subunit ribosomal RNA", at positions 524 to 761 of the family's 1533-position model. Lineage: Bacteria; Bacillati; Bacillota; Bacilli; Caryophanales; Staphylococcaceae. The record is from RNAcentral.